AAGCACUAUCUUUGAACCUGCAUGACCAUUCUCAUGGACUUACAGGCCAAGCUAUAGUGCAAAAGUAUACAAUGACUUGUUAUAACUGGGGUCCCUUGGCUCUUCCCCAAGCUUCUCUUUUAAAUGCAAGUUACAUCA
Molecule: small nucleolar RNA, 138 nt
Organism: Gadus morhua (Atlantic cod)
Lineage: Eukaryota; Metazoa; Chordata; Actinopteri; Gadiformes; Gadidae
Source: Ensembl